UAAAAUUUAAAGUUAAAAUACUAAAAUAGUAAAUAAAAUAUUUGUUGAAACUUAAAUAAUUUGGCGGUAUUUUAGUUCAUUUAGAGGAAUCUGUUUAAUAAUUGAUAUUCCACGAAUAAAUUUACUUAAUUUAUAAUUUUGUAUAUCGUUGUUAAAAAAAUAUUUUUUAAUAAAAUUAAUAUUUAAAAAUUAAAAUAUAAAUUUAAAUCAGAUCAAGAUGCAGAUUAUAAUUAAGAAUAUAAUGGAUUACAAUAAAUUUAUUUAAAUGGAUUUUAAUUUUUAAUAGUUAAUUGAAAGUGGAUUUAAAUGUAAUUUUAUUUAAUUUAAUAAAAUGAUUAAAAAUUAAAAUAUGU
Molecule: ribosomal RNA, 353 nt
Filed under: Sciomesa bua
Lineage: Eukaryota; Metazoa; Arthropoda; Insecta; Lepidoptera; Noctuidae
Description: partial 12S ribosomal RNA
Source: RNAcentral